Molecule: long non-coding RNA, 1105 nt
Filed under: Anas platyrhynchos platyrhynchos (common mallard)
Lineage: Eukaryota; Metazoa; Chordata; Aves; Anseriformes; Anatidae
Description: lncRNA (ENSAPLG00000017956.1)
Source: RNAcentral
AGCAACUUGAUUGAAAUAAAGGAAGAUGUCUUUAAUAUACUGUUUAAAAAUGUAUUUCUAAAAACAAACAAAAAAACCAUAAUUUAUAACACUUAUGUUCACACAGAUGAUGUAACAGUGUUUUGUUUUUUUUUUCUUUCUUUUUUUUUUUUUUUCCUCCUGAAGUCCAGAACAAAUAUAGUGGGAUGUUCUUUUUCUCUUCCUUAUUACAGAAAAAUAGAUGUCUGGAGGUCCAGACACUCUCUUUCCCUCCCUCUCUCCUUUUCUCUCUCAUUAUCAUUAUUGAAAUUAAGUCAAAUAAUAGAUUUUAGUGAAUAAUAGUGUCUGUGGAGCAAAACAUGCCAGUGCAGAUUCCCAAGAUAUUUGACAAACAUUUUCAGUUUUAGUUUGUAUCACUUCAUAAAGCUAAAACUGGUUCAAAUCUUUUAUCCUAUCUCAGGGCAACGGUUACUUGACUGAAUAAUAAGGGUUUUUCAAAAAGCAUGCAUUAAUUCCAUCUGUUGAUACCUCCUCUACUGUAAGCAAACAGCUGGUAUCAGAAAUCAGACUUCAUGAAAUAUUCUGGAAAGAAAUGCAUAAUAAAUUAUAUUCGUUAUAAUUCCACAGCUUCGGGUUGAUACCAGAAUAUGAAACCAUCACAUACUGCAAGUUCAUAAAACAGACAUCCAUAUCAGGUUAUCUCUUAUGCAUGCUUGUGAGAGCCAGUGUCAAAAUCUGCAGUGACUGUAAUGCUGUAGGACUUUGCUUAUUACAACCUACUAGAGAACUUUGGAACUCCUCAGAAACAGUUCCUACUGAGAAGACAUCUGCAACGAUAUGCCAAGCCCAAAGGAACCAUGCACCAGGAAAAAUAAGACAAUUAUCUGCUCAUGAAAGAUUUUAUCACAGAAGUCCAGCCUGUAUCCAACCCCCAAACGGAUUUCUCUCUCCCUAUAGGAGUAUAUAUAUAUAUAUAUAUAUAUAUAUAUUUACAUAUACACAAAUCUUCAGGAUAUAUGGAUUUCAGAAGGAAAAUAGCUUUUCCAAUGGAACUGUGAAUAAAAACAACAACAAAAAAGAAAUGUGAGAUUUUAUUUAAUAAAUGUAUUUUGAAGAAAUCCUAACA